Molecule: ribosomal RNA, 443 nt
Filed under: uncultured bacterium
Lineage: Bacteria
Description: partial 16S ribosomal RNA
Rfam family: Bacterial small subunit ribosomal RNA
Source: RNAcentral
CCUACGGGAGGCUGCAGUGGGGAAUAUUGCACAAUGGGGGAAACCCUGAUGCAGCAACGCCGCGUGAGCGAUGAAGGCCUUCGGGUCGUAAACUUCUAUCAGCAGGGAAGAAGAAAGUGACAGUACCUGACUAAGAAGCCCCGGCUAACUACGUGCCAGCAGCCGCGGUAAUACGUAGGGGGCGAGCGUUGUCCGGAAUUACUGGGCGUAAAGCGCGCGUAGGCGGAUAAUUAAGUCAGAUGUGAAAACUCUGGGCUCAACCGAGAGCAUGCAUCUGAUACUGGUUAACUUGAGUGUAGAAGAGGAGAGUGGAAUUCCUAGUGUAGCGGUGAAAUGCGUAGAUAUUAGGAGGAACACCAGUGGCGAAGGCGGCUCUCUGGACUGUAACUGACGCUGAGGCACGAAAGCGUGGGGAGCAAACAGGAUUAGAUACCCGGGUAGUC